RNAcentral lists this transfer RNA (85 nucleotides) under Candidatus Bathyarchaeota archaeon CG_4_8_14_3_um_filter_42_8. RNAcentral's name for it is "tRNA-Leu". It matches the Rfam family "tRNA". Rfam says of the family: Transfer RNA (tRNA) molecules are approximately 80 nucleotides in length. The record is from RNAcentral. RNAcentral also lists the same sequence under 2 other names. Lineage: Archaea; Thermoproteati; Candidatus Bathyarchaeota.
GCGGGGGUGUCCGAGUCUGGUCAAAGGAGGCAGGCUUAGGACCUGCUGCCGUAGGGCUGCAUGGGUUCAAACCCCAUCCCCCGCA